This 15950-nucleotide long non-coding RNA is filed under the name Salmo salar (Atlantic salmon). RNAcentral describes it as "lncRNA (ENSSSAG00000083258.1)". The record is from RNAcentral. Lineage: Eukaryota; Metazoa; Chordata; Actinopteri; Salmoniformes; Salmonidae.
UUUCCUAAAUGUCCAUUUCAAUAUUUCUGUUAAUGUUAAUGAUAAACUUUUACCUCAGUUGUGACAUUUAAAGCCAAAGUAAAGUAAUCCUGGGACUGUGGAUUUUUGUAGGCUUCCAAAAAUUGUCGAUUCAUCCGGAACUGUAGAAUAAGUACACCUUCAUUUGACGUUGGAGGGUCAGUGGAUGCGGUGGUUGGGGAAACAGUAGUUGUUGGAGCAAGAGUUUUUGUUGUUGAUGGUGAAGCUGUGGUCGUUGUGGGAGCGGCAUUGGUAGUUGUAGGGGCAAUGGUGGUUGUUGUGGAGUUAGAUGUAGUUGUGGUAGCGCCAGCUGUGCUGGUAGUUACAGCAGCUGUUGUCCUUGUGGCAAAAGCUGCUGUUGUUGUUGUGGUGGCAGUUGUAGUUGUAGUGGGAACAACUAUUGUUAUUGUAGCAGCAGCUGUAGUUGAUGUGGGGGCAGCUCUAAUUGUUGAGUGAGCCACUGUUGUUGUGGGAGCAGGAGCUGAAGUUGUUGUUGCUGCUGCGGUUGUUGUGGUUGCGGCAGUGGUUAAAGUGGGAUAAGCUGUGAUUGUUGUGGCAGCUGCUGUGGUUAUUGUGGUAGCAGCUGGGGUUGUUUUGGGGGUGACAUUGGUGGUCGUUGCAGCAACUGUGGUUGUCGACGGGUAAGCUGGGGUUGUAGUGGCAGCCGCUGUUGUUGACAUUGGUACUGCUGUGGUUGAAGUUGGUACUGCUGUGGUUGUUAAAUGGGCAGCUGUGGUUGUUGUUGGAGCAACUGUAGUUGUUGUGGGGUUGGCUGUUGUUGUCAUAGCACCAGCUGUGGAUGUUGUAAGGGAAGCUGUUGUGGUUGUGGUUGCUGUAGUUUUGGGAUAAGUUGUUGUUGUUGUGGGAGAAGUUGUGGUUGUUGUGGUCGAAGCUGUUGUUGUUGUGAUAGAAGCUGUUGUUGUAGCAGCAGCUGUGAUUGUGGUUGGAGCAGGUGUGGUUGUUGUGGGUGCAGCUGUACUUGUUGUAGCUGCAGCUAUUGUGGUUGUUCUGAGAGCGUCUGUGGUUGAUGUGGACAGGGCUUCGAAUGUUGUAGCCUCUGUGGUUGUUGUGGGAGCAGAUAUGGUCGUUGUUGGAGUAGAUGGUGUGGUGGGAGAAGCUGUGGUUGUUGUGGGUGCAGCUGUGGUAGAUGUGGGGUAAGCUGUGGUUGUUGUGGGAGUAGAUGUUGUGGUGGGAGAAGCUGUGUUUGUGGAUGCAGCUGUGAUUGUUGUUGCCACAACUGUGCUUGUUGAAGCUGUAGAUGUUAUUGGUGUUGCUGUUGACAUUGUGGGAACAGCUGUGAUUCUUGUGGGAGAUGCUGUGGAUGUUGUGGGAGCCGCUGUGGUAGUUGUGGGGUAAGCUGUGGUUGUUGUGGGAGUAGAUGUUGUGGUGGGAGAAGCUGUGUUUGCGGAUGCAGCUGUGAUUGUUGUUGCCACAGCUGUGCUUGUUGAAGCUGUAGAUGGUAUUGGUGUUGCUGUUGACAUUGUGGGAACAGCUGUGGUUGUUGUAAGUGAAUCUGUUGUGGUUGUGGGAGAAGUUGUGGUUGUCUUGGGUUUAGUUGUGGUUGUGGUAGGGCCAGCAGUGGUUACAUCAGCUGUUGUUAUUGCUAUGGGAGCUGUUGUAGUGGGAGCCGCUGUGGUUGUAGUGGGAGCCGCUGUGGUUAUAGUGGGAGCCGCUGUGGUUGUAGUGGGAGCCGCUGUGGUUUUAGUGGGAGCCGCUAUGGUUGUAGUGGGAGCCACUAUGGUUGUAGUGGGAGCCAUUGUGGUUGUAGUGGGAGCAGCUGUGGUAGUAGUGGGAGAAUCUAUUGUUAUGCUAGCAGUUGUGGUUGUUGUGGGAGAAGCUGAGUAUGUUGUGAGCGUAGCUGUGGUUGUUGUUGCCUCAGCUUUUGUUGUAGCAGCAACUGUGGUUGUUGUGGGAGUAGAUGUGGUCGUCGUUGGAGUAGAUGGUGUGGUGGGAGAAGCUGUGUUUGCGGAUGCAGCUGUGAUUGUUGUUGCCACAGCUGUGGUUGUUGAAGCUGUAGAUGUUAUUGGUGUUGCUGUUGCCAUUGUGGGAACAGCUGUGGUUGUUGUAAGGGAACCUGUUGUGGUUGUGGGAGAAGUUGUGGUGGUUUUGGGGUUAGCUGUGGUUAUGAUAGGGCCAGCAGUGGUGGUUGUUACAUCAGCUGUUGUUAUUGCUAUGGGAGCUGUUGUAGUGGGAGCCGCUGUGGUUGUAGCGGGAGCCGCUGUGGUUGUAGUGGGAGCAGCUGUGGUUGUAGUGGGAGCCACUAUGGUUGAAGUGGGAGCCCCUGUGGUUGUAGUGGGAGCCGCUGUGGUUGUAGUGGGUGCUGCUGUACUUGUUGUAGCUGCAGCUGUGGAUGUAGUGGGAGCAGCUGUGGUUGUUGUGGUAAAAUCUGUGGUUGUUGUGGUCAAAACUGUUGUUGUUGUGAUCGAAGCUGUUGUUGUAGCUGCAGCUGUGAUUGUGGUUGGAGUGGGUGUUGUUGUUGUGGUUGCAGAUGUACUUGUUGUAGCUGCAGCUGUGGUUGUAUUGGGGGAAGCUGUGGUUGAAGUAAGGGAAACUGUUGUGGUUGUGGGAGCAGCUGUAGUUGUUGUAACAUCAGCAGGGGUUGUUGUAGGAGACGCUGUGGUUGUUGUAACAUCAGGUGUUGUUGUUGUGGGAGCCACUGUGGUUGUUGUGGGAGUCGCUGCGGUUGAUGUGGGAGCCGCUGUGGUUGUUGUGGUAGAAGCUGUGGUUGUUGUGAUAGAAGCUGUUGUUGUAGCAGCAUCUGUAAUUGUGGUUGGAGCAGGUGUGGUUGUUGUGGGUGCAGCUGUACUUGUUGUAGCUGCAGCUGUGGUUGUUGUGGGUGCAGCUGUGGUUGCAUUGGGGGAAGCUGUGGUUGUAGUAAGGGAAACUGUUGUGGUUGUGGGAGCUGCUGUAGUUAUGGGAGAAGUUGUGGUUUUUGUGGGUGCAAUUGUGGUUGUUCUGAGAGUGUCUGUGGUUGAUGUGGACAGGGCUUCAAAUGUUGUAGCCUCAGCUUUUGUUGUAGUAGCAACUGUGGUCGUUGUUGGAGUAGAUGUUGUGGUGGGAGAAGCUGUGUUUGUGGAUGCAGCUGUGAUUGUUGAAUCCACAGCUGUGCUUGUUGAAGCUGUAGAUGUUAUUGGUGAUGUUGUUGACAUUGUGGGAUCAGUUGUGGUUGUUGUAAGGGAAGCUGUUGUGGUUGUGGGAGAAGUUGUGGUUGUUUUGGGGUUAGCUGUAGUUGUGGUAGGGGCAGCAGUGGUGGUUGUUACAUCAGCUUUUGUUGUUGCUAUGGGAGCUGUUGCAGUGGGAGCCGCUGUGGUUGUUGUGGGAGUCGCUGUGGUUGUUGUGGGAGCCGCUGUUGUUGUUGUAACACCAGCUGUGGUUGUUGUGGGAGACGCUGUGGUUGUUGUGGGAUCCACUGUGGUUGAUGUGGGGUAAGCUGUGGUUGUUGUGGGAGCAGCUUUGGUCGUUGUGGUCGAAGCUGUUAUUGAUGUAUUAGAAGCUGUUGUUGUAGCAGCAGCUGGGAUUGUGGUUGGAGCAAGUGUGGCUGUUGUGGGUGCAGCUGUACUUGUAGCUGCAGCUGUGGUUGUUUUGGGGGAAGCUGUGUUUAAAGUAAGGGAAGCUGAUGUGUUUGUGGGAGCAGCUGUAGUUAUGGGAGCAGCUGUGGUUUUUAUGGGUGCAUCUGUGGUUGUUGUGGGAGCUGCUGUGGUUGAUGUGGACAGGGCUUCGAAUGUUGUAGCCUCAGCUUUUUUUGUAGCAGCAACUGUGGUUGUUGUGGGAGCAGAUGUGGUCGUUGUUGGAGUAGAUGUUGUGGUGGGAGAAGCUGUGGUUGUUGUGGGUGCAGCUGUGAUUGCUGUAGCCACAGCUGUGCUCAUUGAAGCCACAUCCGUAGACAUCAUUGGUGCUGCUGUGAUCGUUGUCGGACCAGCUGUAGAUGUUGUAAGGGAAGCUGUUGUGGUUGUGUGGGAUGCUGUAGUUUUGGGAUAAGUUGUGGUUGUUGGGGGAGCAGCAGUGGUUGUUGUGGGAGACACUGUGGUUGUUGUACCAUCAGCUGUGGUUGUUGUGGGAGCCGCUGUGGUUGUUGUGGGAGUCGCUGUGGUUGUUGUGGGAGCUGCUGUGGUUGAUCUGGACAGGGCUUCGAAUGUUGUAGCCUCAGCUUUUGUUUUAGCAGCAACUGUGGUUGUUGUGGGAGCAGAUGUGGUCAUUGUUGGAGUAGAUGUUGUGGUGGGAGCCGUUUUGGUUGUUGUGGGAGCUGCUGUGGUUGAUGUGGAGAGGGCUUCGAAUGUUGUAGCCUCAGAUUUUGAUGUAGCAGCAACUGUGGUUGUUGUGGGAGCAGAUGUGGUCACUGUUGGAGUAGAUGUUGUGGUGGGAGAAGCUGUGGUUGUUGCGGGUGCAGCUGUGACUAUUGUGGGACACACUGUGGUUGUUGUAACAUCAGCUGUGGUUGUUGUGGGAGCUGCAUUGGUUGUUGUAACAUCAGCAGUGGUUGUUGUUGGAGCAGCUGUGGUUGUUGUGGGAGACGCUGUGGUUGUUGUAAAAUCAGCUGUGGUUGUUGUGGGAACAGAUGUGGUUGUUGUGGGAGACGCUGUGGUUGUUGUAACAUCAACAGUGGUUGUUGUUGGAGCAGCUGUGGUUGUUGUGGGAGAUGAUGUGGUUGUUGUUACAUCAGCUGUGGUUGUUGUGGGAGCCGCUGUGGUUGUUGUGGGAGCUGUUGUGGUUGAUGUGGACAGGGCUUCGAAUGUUGUAGCCUCAGCUUUUUUUGUAGCAGCAACUGUGGUUGUUGUGGGAGCAGAUGUGAUUGUUGAUGGAGUGGUGGGAGAAGUUAUGGUUGUUGUGGGUGCAGCUGUGAUUGCUGUAGCCACAGUUGUGCUCAUUGAUGCCGCAUCCGUAGACAUCAUUGGUGCUGCUGUGAUCGUUGUCGGACCAGCUGAUGAUGUUGUAAGGGAAGCUGUUGUAGUUGUGGGAGAUGCUGUAGUUUUGGGAUAAGUUGUGGUUGUUGUUGGAGCAGCUGUGGUCGUUGUGGGAGCAGCUGUGGUGGUUGUAACAUCAGCUGUGGUUGUUGUGGGAGCAGCUGUGGUUGUUGUGGGAGAUGCUGUGGUUGUUGUAACAUAAGCUGUGGUUGUUGUGGGAGCCGCUGUGGUUGUUGUGGGAGCCGCUGUGGUUGUUGUGGGAGCUGCUGUGGUUGAUGUGGACAGGGCUUCGAAUGUUGUAGCCUCAGAUUUUGUUGUAGCAGCAACUGUGGUUGUUGUUGGAGCAGAUGUGGUCACUGUUGGAGUAGAUGUUGUGGUGGGAGAAGCUGUGGUUGUUGUGGGUGCAGCCGUGAUUGCUGUAGCCACAGCUGUGCUCGUUGAAGCCACAUCCGUAGACAUCAUUGGUGCUGCUGUGACUGUUGUCGGACCAGCUGUUGAUGUUGUAAGGGAAGCUGUUGUGGUUGUGUGGAAUGCUGUAGUUUUGGGAUAGGUUGUGGUUGUUGGGGGAGCAGCAGUGGUUGUUGUGGGAGACACUGUGGUUGUUGUAACAUCAGCUGUGGUUGUUGUGGGAGCCACUGUGGUUGUUGUGGGAGCUGUUGUGGUUGAUCUGGACAGGGCUUCGAAUGUUGUAGCCUCAGCUUUUGUUGUAGCAGCAACUGUGGUUGUUGUGGGAGCAGAUGUGGUCGUUGUUGGAGUAGAUGUUGUGGUGGGAGAAGCUGUGGUUGUUGUGGCCGAAUUUGUUGUGAUAGAAGCUGUUGUUGUAGCAGCAUCUGUAACUGUGGUUGGAGCAGGUGUGGUUGUUGUGGGUGCAGCUGUACUUGUUGUAGCUGCAGCUGUGGUUGAAUUGGGGGAAGCUGCGGUUGUAGUAAGGGAAACUGUUGUGAGAUCUUCUUUAGUUAUGGGAGCAUUUGUGGUUUUUGUGGGUGCAAUUGUGGUUGUUGUGAGAGCUGCUGUGGUUGAUGUGGACAGGAUUUCGAAUGUUGUAGCCUCAGCUUUUGUUGUAGCAGCCACUGUGGUUGUUGUAGGUGCAGAUGUGGUAGUUGUUGGAGUAGAUGUUGUGGUGGGAGAAGCUGUGGUUGUUGUGGGUGCAGCUGUGACUGCUGUAGCCACAGCUGUGCUCGUUGAAGCCGCAUCCGUAGACAUCAUUGGUGCUGCUGUGAUCGUUGUCCAACCAGCUGUUGAUGUUGUAAAGGAAGCUGUUGUGGUUGUGGGAGAUGCUGUAGUUUUGGGAUAAGUUGUGGUUGUUGUGGGAGCAGCUGUGGUUGCUGUGGGAGACACUGUGGUUGUUGUGGGAGACGCUGUGGUUGUUGUUGGAGCAGCUGUGGUUGUUGUGGGAGACGCUGUGGUUGUUGUAACAUAAGCUGUGGUUGUUGUGGGAGCCGCUGUGGUUGUUGUGGGAGCCGCUGUGGUUGUUGUGGGAGCUGCUGUGGUUGAUGUGGAGAGGGCUUCGAAUGUUGUAGCCUCAGAUUUUGUUGUAGCAGCAACUGUGGUUGUUGUGGGAGCAGAUGUGGUCACUGUUGGAGUAGAUGUUGUGGUGGGAGAAGCUGUGGUUGUUGUGGGUGCAGCUGUGAUUAUUGUGGGAGACACUGUGGUUGUUGUAACAUCAGCUGUGGUUGUUGUGGGAGCUGCAUUGGUUGUUGUAACAUCAGCAGUGGUUGUUGUUGGAGCAGCUGUGGUUGUUGUGGGAGACGCUGUGGUUGUUGUAAAAUCAGCUGUUGUGGUUGUGGGAGAUGCUGUAGUUUUGGGAUAAGUUGUGGUUGUUGUUGGAGCAGCUGUGGUCGUUGUGGGAGACACUGUGGUUGUUGUAACAUCAGCUGUGGUUGUUGUGGGAGCAGCUGUGGUUGUUAUGGGAGAUGCUGUGGUUGUUGUAACAUCAGCAGUGGUUGUUGUGGGAGACGCUGUGGUUGUUGUAACAUCAGCAGUGGUUGUUGUUGGAGCAGCUGUGGUUGUUGUGGGAGACGCUGUGGUUGUUGUAAAAUCAGCUGUUGUGGUUGUGGGAGAUGCUGUAGUUUUGGGAUAAGUUGUGGUUGUUGUUGGAGCAGCUGUGGUCGUUGUGGGAGACACUGUGGUUGUUGUAACAUCAGCUGUGGUUGUUGUGGGAGCAGCUGUGGUUGUUAUGGGAGAUGCUGUGGUUGUUGUAACAUCAGCAGUGGUUGUUGUGGGAGACGCUGUGGUUGUUGUGGGAGCUGCUGUGGUUGAUGUGGACAGGGCUUCGAAUGUUGUAGCCUCAGCUUUUGUUGUAGCAGCAAUUGUGGUUGUUGUAAGGGAAGCAGUUGUGGUUGUGGGAGAAGUUGUGGUUGUUUUGGGGUUAGCUGUGGUUGUGGUAGGGCCAGCAGUGGUGGUUGUUACAUCAGCUGUUGUUAUUGCUAUGGGAUCUGUUGUAGUGGGAGCAGCUGUGGUUGUAGUGGGAGCUGCUGUUGUUGUAGUGAGAGCCACUGUGGUUGUAGUGGGAGCCGCUGUGGUUGUAGUGGGAGCCGCUGUGGUUGUAGUGGGAGCCGCUGUGGUUGUAGUGGGAGACGUUGUGAUUGAAGUGGGAGCCACUGUUGUUGUAGUGGGAGCCGCUGUGAUUGUAGUGGAUGCCGCAGUGGUUGUAUUGGGAGCCGCUGUGGUUGUAGUGGGAACCGCUGUGGUCGUAGUGGGAUCCGCUGUGGUUGUUGUGGGAGCAGCUGUGGUUCUUGUGGGAGAUGCUGUGUUUGUUGUGGGAGCCACUGUGAUUGUUGUGGGAUCCGCUGUGGUUGUUGUGGGAGCAGCUGUGGUUCUUGUGGGAGAUGCUGUGUUUGUUGUGGGAGCCGCUGUGAUUGCUGUGGGAGUCGCUGUGGAUGUUGUGGGAGCCGCUGUGGCUUUAGUGGCAGCCGCUGUGGUUGUAGUGGGAGACGCUGUGGUUGUAGUGGGAGCCGCUGUGGUUGUAGUGGGAGCCACUGUGGUUGUAGUGGGAGCCGCUGUGGUUGUAGUGGGAGCCACUGUGGUUGUAGUGGGACCCGCUGAAGUUGUUGUGUUAAAAGCUGUGGUUGUUGUGGUCGAAGCUGUUGUUGUUGUGAUAGAAGCUGUUGUUGUAGCAGCAGCUGUGAUUGUGGUUGGAGCAGGUGUGGUUGUUGUGGGUGCAGCUGUACUUGUUGUAGCUGCAACUGUGGUUGUAGUGGGAGCAGCUGUGAUUAUUGUGGGAGACACUGUGGUUGUUGUAACAUCAGCUGUGGUUGUUGUGGGAGCUGCAUUGGUUGUUGUAACAUCAGCAGUGGUUGUUUUUGGAGCAGCUGUGGUUGUUGUGGGAGACGCUGUGGUUGUUGUAACAUCAGCUGUGGUUGUUGUGGGAGCAGCUGUGGUUGUUGUGGGAGUUGCUGUGGUUGUUGUAACAUCAGCUGUGGUUGUUGUGGGAGCCGCUGUGGUUGUUGUGAGAGCUGCUGUGGUUGAUGUAGACAGGGCUUUGAAUGUUGUAGCCUCAGAUUUUGUUGUAGCAGCAACUGUGGUUGUUGUGGGAGCAGAUGUGGUCACUGUUGGAGUAGAUGUUGUGGUGGGAGAAGCUGUGGUUGUUGUGGGUGCAGCUGUGACUGCUGUAGCCACAGCUGUGCUCGUUGAAGCCGCAUCCGUAGACAUCAUUGGUGCUGCUGUGAUAGUUGUCGGACCAGCUGUUGAUGUUGUAAGGGAAGCUGUUGUGGUUGUGGGAGAUGCUGUAGUUUUGGGAUAAGUUGUGGUUGUUGUUGGAGCAGAUGUGGUCGUUGUGGGAGACACUGUGGUUGUUGUAACAUCAGCUGUGGUUGUUGUUGGAGCAGCUGUGGUUGUUGUGGGAGACGCUGUGGUUGUUGUAACAUCAGCUGUGGUUGUUGUGGGAGCAGCUGUGGUUGUUGUGGGAGUUGCUGUGGUUGUUGUAACAUCAGCUGUGGUUGUUGUGGGAGCCGCUGUGGUUGUUGUGAGAGCUGCUGUGGUUGAUGUAGACAGGGCUUUGAAUGUUGUAGAGUCAGAUUUUGUUGUAGCAGCAACUGUGGUUGUUGUGGGAGCAGAUGUGGUCACUGUUGGAGUAGAUGUUGUGGUGGGAGAAGUUGUGGUUGUUGUGGGUGCAGCUGUGAUUGCUGUAGCCACAGUUGUGCUCAUUGAAGCCGCAUCCGUAGACAUCAUUGGUGCUGCUGUGAUCGCUGUCGGACCAGCUGCUGAUGUAAGGAAAGCUGUUGUGGUUGUUGUUGGAGCAGCUGUGGUCGUUGUGGGAGCAGCUGUGGUUGUUGUAACAUCAGCUGUGGUUGUUGUGGGAGCAGCUGUGGUUGUUAUGGGAGACGCUGUGGUUGUUGUAACAUCAGCAGUGGUUGUUGUGGGAGCCGCUGUGGUUGUUGUGGGAGACGCUGUGGUUGUUGUGGGAGCUGCUGUGGUUGAUGUGGACAGGGCUUCGAAUGUUGUAGCCUCAGCUUUUGUUGUAGCAGCAAUUGUGGUUGUUGUAAGGGAAGCUGUUGUGGUUGUGGGAAAAGUUGUGGUUGUUUUGGGGUUAGCUGUGGUUGUGGUAGGGCCAGCAGUGGUGGUUGUUACAUCAGCUGUUGUUAUUGCUAUGGGAUCUGUUGUAGUGGGAGCAGCUGUGGUUGUAGUGGGAGCUGCUGUUGUUGUAGUGGGAGCCGCUGUGGUUGUAGUGGGACCCGCUGUGGUUGUAGUGGGAGCCGCUGUGGUUGUAGUGGGAGACGUUGUGGUUGAAGUGGGAGCCACUGUGGUUGUAGUGGGAGACGCUGUGUUUGUUGUGGGAGCCGCUGUGAUUGUUGUGGGAGUCGCUGUGGAUGUUGUGGGAGCUGCUGUGGUAGUUGUGGGGUAAGCUGUGGUUGUUGUGGGAGUAGAUGUUGUGGUGGGAGAAGCUGUGUUUAUUGAUGCAGCUGUGAUUAUUGUAGCCACAGCUGUGCUUGUUGAAACUGUAGAUGGUAUUGGUGUUGCUGUUGACAUUGUGGGAUCAGUUGUGGUUGUUGUAAGUGAAUCUGUUGUGGUUGUGGGAGAAGUUGUGGUGGUUUUGGGUUUAGUUGUGGUUGUGGUAGGGCCAGCAGUGCUGGUUGUUACAUCAGCUUUUGAUGUUGCUGAGGGAGCUGUUGUAGUGGGAGCCGCUGUGGAUUUAGUGGGAGCCGCUGUGGUUGUAGUGGGAGCCGCUGUGGUUGUAGUGGGAGCCACUGUGGUUGUAGUGGGAGCCACUGUGGUUGUAGUGGGAGCGACUGUGGUUGUAGUGGGAGCCACUGUGGUUGUAGUGGGACCCGCUGAAGUUGUUGUGGUAGAAGCUGUGGUUGUUGUCGUCGAAGCUGUUGUUGUUGUGAUAGAAGCUGUUGUUGUUGCAACAGCUGUGAUUAUGGUUGGAACAGGUGUGGUUGUUGUGGGUGCAGCUGUGGUUGUAUUGGGGGAAGCUGUGGUUGUAGUAAGGGAAACUGUUGUGGUUGUGGGAGCAGCUGUAGUUGUGGGAGCCGCUGUGGUUUUUGUGGGUGCAGCUGUGGUUGUUGUGGGAGCUGCUGUAGUUGAUGUGGACAGGGCUUCGAAUGUUGUAGCCUCAGCUUUUGUUGCAGCAGCAACUGUGGUUGUUGUGGGAGAAGAUGUGGUCGUUGUUGGAGUAGAUGUUGUGGUGGGAGAAGCUGUGGAUAUUGUGGCCGAAGCUGUUGUGAUAGAAGCUGUUGUUGUAGCAGCAUCUGUUAUUGCGGUUGGAGAAGGUGUGGUUGUUGUGGGUGCAGCUGUACUUGUUGUAGCUGCAGCUGUGGUUGUAUUGGGGGAAGCUGUGGUUGUUGUAAGGGAAGCUGUUGUGGUUGUGGGAGAGGUUGUGGUUGUUUUGGGAGCCGCCGAGGAUGUUGUCGGGUAAGAUGUGGUUGUUGUGGGAGCAGCUGUGGUUGUUGUGGGUGCAUCUGUGGUUGUUGUGUGUGCAUCUGUCGUUGUUGUGGGGAUGGCUGUGGUUGUCAGAGCUGCUGUAGGUGUUGUAGGAAUAGAUGUGGUUGUUGUGGGUGCUUCUGUGGUUGUUGUGGGUGCAGCUGUGGUUGUUAUGGCUGAAGCUGUGGUUGUUGUGGGGAUAGCUGUUGUUGUUGUGGGGAUGGCGGUGGUUUUCUGAGCUGCUGUAGUUGUUGCCGGAGAAGAUGUGGCUGUUGUGGGUGCAUUUGUGGUUGUUGUGUGUGCUUCUGUGGUUGUUGUGGGUGCAGCUGUGGUUGUUGUGGGUGCAGCUGUGGUUGAUGUGGGGCUGGCAGUGGUGGUGGUAGAGGAAGCUGUUGUGGAUGUUGUAGUUGUUGUCAGAGAAGAUGUGGUUGGUGUGUGUGCAUGUGUGGUUGUUGUGGGAGCAGCUGUGGUUGUUGUCGGGAAGGCUGUGUUUGUAGUAGCUGCAGCUAUUGUUGAUAGUGGUACAGUUGUUGUUGUUGUGGGAGCAGCUGUGGUUAUUGUGGGAUUAGCUUUGGUUGUUGUUGUAGAAGAUGUGGUUGUUAUGGCUGAAGCUGUGGUUGUUGUGGGGCUGGCUGUGGUUUUUGUGGGGAUGGCUGUGGUUGUCGCAGAUGCUGUAGUUGUUGCCGGAGAAGAUGUGGUUGUUGUGGGUGCAUCUGUGGUUGUUGUGGGGACGGUUGUUGCUGUCGGAGCUGCUAUAGGUGUUGUCGGAGAAGAUGUGGUUGUUGUGGGUGCUUCUGUGGUUGUUGUGGGUGAAGCUGUGGUUGUUGUGGGUGCAUCUGUUGUUGAUGUGGGGCUGGCUGUGGUGGUUGUCGUGGAAGCUUUUCUGGAUGUUGUAGAUUCUAUAGUUGUUGUCGGAGAAGAUGUGGUUGUUGUGGGUGCAUCUGUGGUUGUUGUGGGUGCAGCUGUGUUUGGUAUGGCUGAAGCUGUGGUUCUGGUGGGGAUAGCUGUGGUUGUUGUCUGAGAAAAUGUGGUUGUUGUGGGUGCAGCUGUGGUUGUUGUAGAAGAAGCUGUGGUUGUUGUAGAAGCUGUGGUGGUUGUAGAGGAAGCUGUUGUGGUCAUUGGAUUUGCUAUAACUGUUGUUGGAGAAAAUGUGGUUGUUGUGGGUGCAUCCGUUGUUGUUGUGUGUGCGUCUGUGGUUGUUGUGGAGAUGGCUGUGGUUGUCGGAGCCGCUGUAGGUGUUGUCGGAGAUGUGGAUGUUGUGGGUGCUUCUGUGGUUGUUGUGGGUGCUUCUGUGGUUAUUGUGGAAGAAGCUGUGGUUGAUGUGGGGCUGGCUGUGGUGGUUAAAGAGGAAGCUGUUGUGGAUGUUGUAGUUGCUGUAGUUGUUGUCAGAGAAGAUGUGGUUGUUGUGGGUGCAUCUGUGGUUGUUGUGGGUGCAUCUGUGGUUGUUGAGGGAUCAGCUUUGGUUGUUGUUGUAGAAGCUGUGGUGGUUGUAGAGAUGGCUGUUGUGGUCUUUGGAGCUGCUGUAGUUGUUGUCGGAGAAGAUGUGGUUGUUGUGUGUGCAUCUGUGGUUGUUGUAGGGACGGUUGUUGUUGUCGGAACUGCUGUAGGUGUUGUCGGAGACGAUGUGGUUGUUGUGGGUGCUUCUGUGGUUGAUGUGUGUGCAAAUGUGGUUGUUGUGGGUGCAGCUGUGGUUGUUGUGGGAACAGCUGUAGUUGAUGUGGGGCUGGUUGUGGUUGUUGUGGAGGAAGCCGUUGUGGUCAUUGGAGCUGCUGUAGUUGUUGUAGCAGAAGAUGUGGUUGUUGUGGGUGCAGCUGUGGUUGUUGUGGGGGAAGCUGUGGUUGUUGUGUGUGCAUCUGUGGUUGUUGUGAAGAUGGCUGUGGUUGUCGGAGCUGCUGUAGGUUUUGUCGGAGAAGAUGUGGUUGUUGUGGGUGCUUCUGUGGUUGAUGUGUGUGCAAAUGUGGUUGUUGUGGGUGCAGCUGUGGUUGUUGUGGGAACAGCUGUGGUUGAUGUGGGGGAAGCUGUGGUUGUUGUGUGUGCAUCUGUGGUUGUUGUGAAGAUGGCUGUGGUUGUCGGAGCUGCUGUAGGUGUUGUCGGAGAAGAUGUGGUUGUUGUGGGUGCUUCUGUGGUUGAUGUGUGUGGAGAUGUGGUUGAUGUGUGUGGAGAUGUGGUUGUUGUUGGUGCAGCUGUGGUUGUUGUGGGAACAGCUGUGGUUGAUGUCGGGCUGGUUGUGGUGGAUGUAGAGGAGGCUGUUGUGGAUGUUGUAGAUGCUGUUGUUGUUGUCAGAUAAGAUGUGGUUGUUGUGUGUGCAUCUGUGGUUGUUUUAGGGAUGGCUGUGGUUGUCGGAGCUGCUGUAGGUGUUGUCGGAGAAGAUGUAGUUGUUGUGGGUGCUUCUGUAGUUGUUGGGGGUGCUUCUGUGGUUGAUGUGUGUGCAGAUGUGGUUGUUGUGGGUAAAGCUGUGGUUGUUGUGGGAACAGCUGUGGUUGAUGUGGGGCUGGCUAUCGUGGUUGUAGAGGAAGGUGUUGUGGUCGUUGGAACUGCUGUAGUUGUUAUCGGAGAAGAUGUGGUUGUUGUGGGUGUAUCUGUGGUUGUUGUUGUUGCAUCUGUGGUUGUUGUGAAGAUGGCUGUGGUUCUCAGAGCUGCGGUAGGUGUUGUCAGAGAAGAUGUGGUUGUUGUGGGUGCUUCUGUGGUUGAUGUGUGAUGAGAUGUGGUUGUUGUUGGUGCAGCUGUGGUUGUUGUGGGAACAGCUGUGGUUGAUGUGGGGCUGGUUGUGAAGGAUGUAGAGGAGGCUGUUGUGGAUGUUGUAGAUGCUGUAGUUGUUGUCGGAGAAGAUGUGGUUGUUGUGUGUGCAUCUGUGGUUGUUGUGGGGAUGGUUGUGGUUGUCGGAGCUGCUGUAGGUGUUGUCGGAGAAGAUGUAGUUGUUGUGGGUGCUUCUGUGGUUGUUGUGGGUGAAGCUGUGGUUGAUGUGGGUGCAGCUCUGGUUGAUGUGGGGCUGGCUGUGGUGGUUGAAGAGGAAGCUGUUGUGGAUGUUGUAGAUGCUGUAGUUGUUGUCAGAAAAGAUGUGGUUGUUGUGGGUGCAUCUGUGGUUGUUGUGUGUCCGUCUGUGGUUGUGGGGAUGGCUGUGGUUGUCGGAGAUCCUGUAGGUGUUGUCGGAGAAGAUGUUGUUGUUGCGGCUGCUUCUGCGGUUGAUGUGUGUGCAGAUGUGGUUGUUGUGGGUGCAGCUGUGGUUGUUGUGGGAACAGCUGUGGUUGAUGUGGGGCUGGCUAUCGUGGUUGUAGAGGAAGCUGUUGUGGUCGUUGGAGCUGCUGUAGUUGUUAUCGGAGAAGAUGUGGUUGUUGUGUGUCCAUCUGUGGUUGUUGUGGGGAUGGCUGUCGUUGUCGGAACUCCUGUAUGUGUUGUUGGAGAAGAUGUGGUUGUUGUGGGUGCUUCUGUGGUUGAUGUGUGUGCAAAUGUGGUUGUUGUGGGUGUAGCUGUGGUUGUUGUGGGAACAGCUGUAGUUGAUGUGGGGCUGGUUGUGGUGGUUGUGGAGGAAGCCGUUGUGGUCAUUGGAGCUGCUGUAGUUGUUGUAGAAGAUGUGCUUUCUGUGUGUGCAUCUGUGGUUGUUGUGGGGAUGGCUAUGGUUGAUGUGGGGAUGGCUGUGGAUGUCAGAGCUGCUGUAGUUGUUGCAGCAGAAGAUGUGGUUGUUGUGGGUGCAGCUGUGGUUGUUGUGGGGGAAGCUGUGGUUGUUGUGUGUGCAUCUGUGGUUGUUGUGAAGAUGGCUGUGGUUGUCGGAGCUGCUGUAGGUGUUGUCGGAGAAGAUGUGGUUGUUGUGGGUGCUUCUGUGGUUGAUGUGUGUGAAAAUGUGGUUGUUGUGGGUGCAGCUGUGGUUGUUGUGGGAACAGCUGUGGUUGAUGUGGGGGAAGCUGUGGUUGUUGUGUGUGCAUCUGUGGUUGUUGUGAAGAUGGCUGUGGUUGUCGGAGCUGCUGUAGGUGUUGUCGGAGAAGAUGUGGUUGUUGUGGGUGCUUCUGUGGUUGAUGUGUGUGGAGAUGUGGUUGAUGUGUGUGGAGAUGUGGUUGUUGUUGGUGCAAUUGUGGUUGUUGUGGGAACAGCUGUGGUUGAUGUCGGGCUGGUUGUGGUGGAUGUAGAGGAGGCUGUUGUGGAUGUCGGAUAAGAUGUGGUUGUUGUGUGUGCAUCUGUGGUUGUUGUAGGGAUGGCUGUGGUUGUCGGAGCUGCUGUAGGUGUUGUCGGAGAAGAUGUAGUUGUUGUGGGUGCUUCUGUAGUUGUUGUGGGUGAAGGUGUGGUUGAUGUGGGUGCAGCUCUGGUUGAUGUGGGGCUGGCUGUGGUGGUUGAAGAGGAAGCUGUUGUAGAUGUUGUAGAUGCUGUAGUUGUUGUCGGAGAAGAUGUGGUUGUUGUGGUUGCAUCUGUGGUUGUUGUGGGUGCAUCUGUGGUUGUUGUUGGUGCAUCUGUGGUUGUUGUGUGUCCGUCUGUGGUUGUGGGGAUGGCUGUGGUUGUCGGAGAUGCUGUAGGUGUUGUCGGAGAAGAUGUGGUUGUUGGGGCUGCUUCUGCUGUUGAUGUGUGUGCAGAUGUGGUUGUUGUGGGUGCAGCUGUGGUUGUUGUGGAAACAGCUGUGGUUGAUGUGGGGCUGGCUAUCGUGGUUGUAGAGGAAGCUGUUGUGGUCGUUGGAGCUGCUGUAGUUGUUAUCGGAGAAGAUGUGGUUGUUGUGUGUCCAUCUGUGGUUGUUGUGGGGAUGGCUGUGGUUGUCGGAACACCUGUAGGUGUUGUUGGAGAAGAUGUGGUUGUUGUGUGUGCUUCUGUGGUUGAUGUGGAUGAAGCUGUAGUUGUCGGAGCUGCUGUAGGUGUUGUCGGAGACGAUGUGGUUGUUGUGGGUGCUUCCGUGGUUGACGUGUGUGCAAAUGUGGUUGUUGUGGGUGCAGCUGUGGUUGUUGUGGGAACAGCUGUAGUUGAUGUGGGGCUGGUUGUGGUAGUUGUGGAGGAAGCCGUUGUGGUCAUUGGAGCUGCUGUAGUUGUUGAAGAAGAUGUGUUUGCUGUGUGUGCAUCUGUGGUUGUUGUGGGGAUGGCUAUGGUUGAUGUGGGGAUGGCUGUGAAUGUCAGAGCUGCUGUAGUUGUUGCAGCAGAAGAUGUGGUUGUUGUGGGUGCAGCUGUGGUUGUUGUGGGGGAAGCUGUGGUUGUUGU